UAAAAGCCAUGGAGUUGAGCUAGUCAAGGUGGCCAGCUCUGAGAGUUGUGGAGUUAGGAGUUCCUGGCAGCAGCAUGGUGCAGCCCCUAAAUCUACAGUGGGACUUGAAGGAAGCACCUCUGCAGGCCUGGGAACAAGGGAGAGUUACCUGGAUUAGAGAAAGUGAAAGAAUCAUUAUGUAGGCAUAGCAGGUAAAAGAAGGCUGGACUGCUCUGAGAACAGGACGCAAGAAAUUCUCUUGACCUCCAGGAGCCUCACAGCUACCCCUGGAGUCCUGUUAUAGGGGGACAGGGAAGAAGAGUCAAUAAAAGACAUCACUCACAAAAAUCCUUGACCAUCAUGACCCAGGACACCUUAAACACACAGGAAAAGAUGAUGACAACUGGGGAAGUAUGCUCAGGAAGCACUGUAUAGUGCAGAAGAAUAGGAACAGAUCAUUAUUGCUGGAAUUAGCUGCUGCUAUGAAAUGGUGAUUGCUGACUCACUUCUCCUUCAUUCAAAAGAUAUACUAGAAGACCUUGUAUAGCCCUGAAGCACUAUUUUAGGACUGCUACUGACUGUCUCCUUGUUACCAGUUGUUGGUGGUCUA
Alligator sinensis (Chinese alligator) is the source of this 589-nucleotide long non-coding RNA. RefSeq lists it as uncharacterized. The transcript is spliced from 3 exons. Lineage: Eukaryota; Metazoa; Chordata; Crocodylia; Alligatoridae. The record is from RefSeq and is a predicted model, not a curated record.